CCUACGGGAGGCUGCAGUGAGGAAUAUUGGUCAAUGGACGAGAGUCUGAACCAGCCAAGUAGCGUGAAGGAUGACUGCCCUAUGGGUUGUAAACUUCUUUUAUAUGGGAAUAAAAUGUUCCACGUGUGGGAUUUUGUAUGUACCAUAUGAAUAAGGAUCGGCUAACUCCGUGCCAGCAGCCGCGGUAAUACGGAGGAUCCGAGCGUUAUCCGGAUUGAUUGGGUUUAAAGGGAGCGUAGGUGGAUUGUUAAGUCAGUUGUGAAAGUUUGCGGCUCAACCGUAAAAUUGCAGUUGAAACUGGCAGUCUUGAGUACAGUAGAGGUGGGCGGAAUUCGUGGUGUAGCGGUGAAAUGCUUAGAUAUCACGAAGAACUCCGAUUGCGAAGGCAGCUCACUGGACUGCAACUGACACUGAGGCUCGAAAGUGUGGGUAUCAAACAGGAUUAGAUACCCGGGUAGUC
This 460-nucleotide ribosomal RNA is filed under the name uncultured bacterium. Its description in RNAcentral is "partial 16S ribosomal RNA". It matches the Rfam family "Bacterial small subunit ribosomal RNA", at positions 338 to 795 of the family's 1533-position model. The record is from RNAcentral.